GCCGCAGAUAUAUCUGUGCUAAGGUAGCACAAUAAUUAGCUUCCUAACUAGAAGAUAGAAUGAAAGGAUAAACGACUUAAUAAUUUUUCCUUCGUUAUACAAUAAAAUUAACCAAAAAGUAAAAAAGCUUUUAUAAAAAAGAAAGACAAUAAGACCCUAUAGAACUUUAAUACUAAUAUUUUUGCUGGGGCAGCAAAAAAUCAAAACUUUUAUCCAUGCACCUAUAAGGACCUAAAAAACUUAAUCAUUAAAACAAGCUACCUUAGGGAUAACAGCGCUAUUUUACUUCAUAGUUCUUAUAAAAAGUAAACUUUACGACCUCGAUGUUGAAUUAAUUUAACUUUAUUAAGUAAAAAUAAUAAAAGUAAGUCUGUUCGACUUUUAAAAACUUACAUGAUUUGAGUUCAGACCGGUGCAAACCAGGUCAGAUUAUAUCUUCUUUAAUAAAUUAACAGUACGAAAGGACCUUAAUAUAAAUA
Molecule: ribosomal RNA, 479 nt
Filed under: Loxosceles kaiba
Lineage: Eukaryota; Metazoa; Arthropoda; Arachnida; Araneae; Sicariidae
Description: partial 16S ribosomal RNA
Rfam family: Bacterial large subunit ribosomal RNA
Source: RNAcentral